RNAcentral lists this ribosomal RNA (1464 nucleotides) under uncultured Klebsiella sp. RNAcentral describes it as "bacterial SSU rRNA". It matches the Rfam family "Bacterial small subunit ribosomal RNA". Lineage: Bacteria; Pseudomonadati; Pseudomonadota; Gammaproteobacteria; Enterobacterales; Enterobacteriaceae. The record is from RNAcentral.
AUUGAACGCUGGCGGCAGGCCUAACACAUGCAAGUCGAGCGGUAGCACAGAGAGCUUGCUCUCGGGUGACGAGCGGCGGACGGGUGAGUAAUGUCUGGGAAACUGCCUGAUGGAGGGGGAUAACUACUGGAAACGGUAGCUAAUACCGCAUAACGUCGCAAGACCAAAGUGGGGGACCUUCGGGCCUCAUGCCAUCAGAUGUGCCCAGAUGGGAUUAGCUGGUAGGUGGGGUAACGGCUCACCUAGGCGACGAUCCCUAGCUGGUCUGAGAGGAUGACCAGCCACACUGGAACUGAGACACGGUCCAGACUCCUACGGGAGGCAGCAGUGGGGAAUAUUGCACAAUGGGCGCAAGCCUGAUGCAGCCAUGCCGCGUGUGUGAAGAAGGCCUUCGGGUUGUAAAGCACUUUCAGCGGGGAGGAAGGCGGUGAGGUUAAUAACCUCAUCGAUUGACGUUACCCGCAGAAGAAGCACCGGCUAACUCCGUGCCAGCAGCCGCGGUAAUACGGAGGGUGCAAGCGUUAAUCGGAAUUACUGGGCGUAAAGCGCACGCAGGCGGUCUGUCAAGUCGGAUGUGAAAUCCCCGGGCUCAACCUGGGAACUGCAUUCGAAACUGGCAGGCUAGAGUCUUGUAGAGGGGGGUAGAAUUCCAGGUGUAGCGGUGAAAUGCGUAGAGAUCUGGAGGAAUACCGGUGGCGGAAGGCGGCCCCCUGGACAAAGACUGACGCUCAGGUGCGAAAGCGUGGGGAGCAAACAGGAUUAGAUACCCUGGUAGUCCACGCUGUAAACGAUGUCGAUUUGGAGGUUGUGCCCUUGAGGCGUGGCUUCCGGAGCUAACGCGUUAAAUCGACCGCCUGGGGAGUACGGCCGCAAGGUUAAAACUCAAAUGAAUUGACGGGGGCCCGCACAAGCGGUGGAGCAUGUGGUUUAAUUCGAUGCAACGCGAAGAACCUUACCUGGUCUUGACAUCCACAGAACUUAGCAGAGAUGGUUUGGUGCCUUCGGGAACUGUGAGACAGGUGCUGCAUGGCUGUCGUCAGCUCGUGUUGUGAAAUGUUGGGUUAAGUCCCGCAACGAGCGCAACCCUUAUCCUUUGUUGCCAGCGGUCCGGCCGGGAACUCAAAGGAGACUGCCAGUGAUAAACUGGAGGAAGGUGGGGAUGACGUCAAGUCAUCAUGGCCCUUACGACCAGGGCUACACACGUGCUACAAUGGCAUAUACAAAGAGAAGCGACCUCGCGAGAGCAAGCGGACCUCAUAAAGUAUGUCGUAGUCCGGAUUGGAGUCUGCAACUCGACUCCAUGAAGUCGGAAUCGCUAGUAAUCGUAGAUCAGAAUGCUACGGUGAAUACGUUCCCGGGCCUUGUACACACCGCCCGUCACACCAUGGGAGUGGGUUGCAAAAGAAGUAGGUAGCUUAACCUUCGGGAGGGCGCUUACCACUUUGUGAUUCAUGACUGGGGUGA